This 1339-nucleotide ribosomal RNA is filed under the name Lethe albolineata. RNAcentral's name for it is "large subunit ribosomal RNA". The record is from RNAcentral. Lineage: Eukaryota; Metazoa; Arthropoda; Insecta; Lepidoptera; Nymphalidae.
GGGGAAAAAUUAAUUAAAUAAAAUUAAUAAAAAAAAUUUUUAAGUUAAAAAUAAAUAAUGGGGGUUAAAGUAUUUUUAAUAGAAAAAAUUUUAAAUUUUAUAGGGAAGUAAGUAUUGUAGGGGAAAUUUGAAAUAAAUUAAAUAUUAAUUAUAAAAAAAGAAAAUUUAAUUUAUUGUAUCUUGUGUAUCAGAGUUUAUUAAAUAAUUUUUUUUUAUAAAAAAAUCUCGAAUUUAAAAGAACUAAUUAAUUAUGAAAGUUAAUGUAACAUAAUUAUUUUAAAUAAUUAAUUGGAAAUGAAAUGUUAAUCGUUUUUAAAUAUAUCUAGUUAUUUUAGAAAAAAAUUUAAUUUUAAAUUUAAAUAAUUUUGUAAUUUAAUAAUUAUAAUUACAAAAAUUUAAAUUUAAUAUUUUAAGGGAUAAGCUUUAAAUUAAAAAUUUAUAAUAAAAUUAAAUAUAAAUUAAAAUUUUUAAAAUUUAUAUUGUUUAAAAAUUAUAAUUUAUUAUAAAAAAUUUUAUUAAAAAUAAAAUUUUAUAAAAAAAAAAAUUUAAAUUUUUAUAAAAUAAUAAUUUUUAAUAAAUUAAAAUUAGUAAUAAUGAUAAAAUUAGUAUAAAAUGAUAAAAAAGAAUAAAUUUAAAUUGAAGUUAAUUAAAAGGAAUUCGGCAAAAAAAAUAUUCACUUGUUUAUCAAAAACAUGUCUUUUUGUUUAUAAUUUAAAGUCUAAUCUGCCCACUGAUAAAUAUUAAAGGGCUGCAGUAUAUUGACUGUACAAAGGUAGCAUAAUCAUUAGUUUUUUAAUUGAAAACUUGUAUGAAAGAUUUGAUGAAAUAUAAACUGUCUCUUAAUUAGUAUUAAAAAUUUAUUUUUUAGUUAAAAAGCUAAAAUAAUUUUAAAAGACGAGAAGACCCUAUAGAGUUUUAUAUUUUAUUUAAUAUUAAAGUUUUAUAAAAAUUAAAAUUAAUAUUGAUUAAAAUAUUGUAUUGGGGUGAUAGAAAAAUUAAAGUAACUUUUUUUAAAAAUUAACCAUAAAUAAAUGAAUAAAUGAUCCAUUUAUAGUGAUUACAAGAAAAAAUUACCUUAGGGAUAACAGCGUAAUAUUUUUUUUUAGUCCGAAUAAAAAAAAAAGUUUGCGACCUCGAUGUUGGAUUAAGAUAAAAUUUAAAUGCAAGUGUUUAAAAUUUUGAUCUGUUCGAUCAUUAAAAUCUUACAUGAUCUGAGUUCAAACCGGUGUAAGCCAGGUUGGUUUCUAUCUUUAGAAAAAAAGAAUAUUUUAGUACGAAAGGAUCAAAUAUUUAAAAUAAUUUUAAUAAAAGAAUAUUAUUAAUUAAAUUAUAAAAUUAA